GCCUGGUGUUAUGGUGAACACCUGUAGUCCCAGCUACUUGGGAGGCUGAGACAGGAGGUUCACUUGAACCUAGGAGUUUGAGGUUGCUGUGAGCUAGAUUGAUGCCACGGCACCCUAACCUGGGGUAACAGAGUGAGAUUCUGUCUCAU
Molecule: non-coding RNA, 149 nt
Filed under: Otolemur garnettii (small-eared galago)
Lineage: Eukaryota; Metazoa; Chordata; Mammalia; Primates; Galagidae
Source: Rfam by way of RNAcentral